UAGGGAAUCUUCCACAAUGGACGCAAGUCUGAUGGAGCAACGCCGCGUGAGUGAAGAAGGUUUUCGGAUCGUAAAGCUCUGUUGUUGGUGAAGAAAGAUAGUGAGAGUAACUGCUCAUUAUUUGCCGGUAAUCAACCAGAAAGUCACGGCUAACUACGUGCCAGCAGCCGCGG
RNAcentral lists this ribosomal RNA (173 nucleotides) under uncultured bacterium. Its description in RNAcentral is "partial 16S ribosomal RNA". It matches the Rfam family "Bacterial small subunit ribosomal RNA", at positions 355 to 520 of the family's 1533-position model. The record is from RNAcentral.